This 1372-nucleotide ribosomal RNA is filed under the name uncultured bacterium. Its description in RNAcentral is "bacterial SSU rRNA". It matches the Rfam family "Bacterial small subunit ribosomal RNA", at positions 28 to 1381 of the family's 1533-position model. The record is from RNAcentral.
GAUGAACGCUGGCGGCGUGCCUAAUACAUGCAAGUCGAGCGAACGGACGAGAAGCUUGCUUCUCUGAUGUUAGCGGCGGACGGGUGAGUAACACGUGGAUAACCUACCUAUAAGACUGGGAUAACUUCGGGAAACCGGAGCUAAUACCGGAUAAUAUUUUGAACCGCAUGGUUCAAAAGUGAAAGACGGUCUUGCUGUCACUUAUAGAUGGAUCCGCGCUGCAUUAGCUAGUUGGUAAGGUAACGGCUUACCAAGGCGACGAUGCGUAGCCGACCUGAGAGGGUGAUCGGCCACACUGGAACUGAGACACGGUCCAGACUCCUACGGGAGGCAGCAGUAGGGAAUCUUCCGCAAUGGGCGAAAGCCUGACGGAGCAACGCCGCGUGAGUGAUGAAGGUCUUCGGAUCGUAAAACUCUGUUAUUAGGGAAGAACAAAUGUGUAAGUAACUAUGCACGUCUUGACGGUACCUAAUCAGAAAGCCACGGCUAACUACGUGCCAGCAGCCGCGGUAAUACGUAGGUGGCAAGCGUUAUCCGGAAUUAUUGGGCGUAAAGCGCGCGUAGGCGGUUUUUUAAGUCUGAUGUGAAAGCCCACGGCUCAACCGUGGAGGGUCAUUGGAAACUGGAAAACUUGAGUGCAGAAGAGGAAAGUGGAAUUCCAUGUGUAGCGGUGAAAUGCGCAGAGAUAUGGAGGAACACCAGUGGCGAAGGCGACUUUCUGGUCUGUAACUGACGCUGAUGUGCGAAAGCGUGGGGAUCAAACAGGAUUAGAUACCCUGGUAGUCCACGCCGUAAACGAUGAGUGCUAAGUGUUAGGGGGUUUCCGCCCCUUAGUGCUGCAUCUAACGCAUUAAGCACUCCGCCUGGGGAGUACGACCGCAAGGUUGAAACUCAAAGGAAUUGACGGGGACCCGCACAAGCGGUGGAGCAUGUGGUUUAAUUCGAAGCAACGCGAAGAACCUUACCAAAUCUUGACAUCCUCUGACCCCUCUAGAGAUAGAGUUUUCCCCUUCGGGGGACAGAGUAACAGGUGGUGCAUGGUUGUCGUCAGCUCGUGUCGUGAGAUGUUGGGUUAAGUCCCGCAACGAGCGCAACCCUUAAGCUUAGUUGCCAUCAUUAAGUUGGGCACUCUAAGUUGACUGCCGGUGACAAACCGGAGGAAGGUGGGGAUGACGUCAAAUCAUCAUGCCCCUUAUGAUUUGGGCCACACACGUGCUACAAUGGACAAUACAAAGGGCAGCGAAACCGCGAGGUCAAGCAAAUCCCAUAAAGUUGUUCUCAGUUCGGAUUGUAGUCUGCAACUCGACUAUAUGAAGCUGGAAUCGCUAGUAAUCGUAGAUCAGCAUGCUACGGUGAAUACGUUCCCGGGUCU